GCCAUCUUAGCUCAGUGGAAGAGCAUCGGUAUCGUAAACCGGUGAUGGGAGUUCGAUUCUCCCAGAUGGCU
RNAcentral lists this transfer RNA (71 nucleotides) under Candidatus Roizmanbacteria bacterium CG_4_10_14_0_2_um_filter_36_35. RNAcentral's name for it is "tRNA-Thr". It matches the Rfam family "tRNA". From Rfam's summary of the family: Transfer RNA (tRNA) molecules are approximately 80 nucleotides in length. RNAcentral also lists the same sequence under 4 other names. The record is from RNAcentral. Lineage: Bacteria; Candidatus Roizmaniibacteriota.